GGUAAUGUCUUCACUUUUUAACAGGUUAUCUUUGACAUAAUCAUGGUUUGAACUUUGUGUAGACAUCGAGGAGGCUUUUGGUUGUCUAUAUGGCUCUAUGGCUUAAGAGAGAUGUCUGUGCUGUGCAUUUACCUCUCAUCUCUACCCAUACAUAAGGAGACUCAGAAAUACAUAUUUGAGAGCCAUUAUUUAUGUAAUAAUUAAAGCUGUGGGGUUAGCUAAGAUCACCAGGGAGGGAAUAAAAUGAGAAGAGAAAAGGGCUGAGGACAGAAUCCCAAGGAACAUCUGUAUUUAUGAGAGGCUGAUGUCAUCACAGCCACAUAGCAGAACAAUUUCCCACAGCAAUGGAAGUUCUAUGACAGCAUUGGGGUUACAAAAGCUGGGUGAGCACUGUACCGGUUCCAAAAUGUGGGUUCAAGGAAAGGAAGGUUAUUCAAUGAUGGAAUCUUCCAUGUAUUUCUUCGGACUGCUCCACUUACCACAUCAUCAUUCCAGGCCCUGACCUUUGUGAACUCCUCUGGAAAAUCAAACAUACCUAAGCCGCCCAGGCUUGGGUCUAAUGACACCGACAGUUGCUCUUCGGGAGGUCGUGGAACAGGGCUUGGAGGGUGAUUUGAAUGAGAAGGAAACCUAAUGGUCAUGGAAUCCACAUUUUUCGUGGGAAAACAAGAAUCCAGAGAAGUUAAGGGACUUGAUCCAGAUCCCCUCUCCUGUGAUGCCUUUCUGGACUUUCCAAGGCGGUUUGGAGUGGUGCUUCCUUCCCAGCUGUUUGCAAAACCCGUGUGUGCUUUUCUCCAUGACUUUUAACCCUUUGUUAGAAUGAAUGAUCAGCAGCGUCUCUCUCACUAAAUGGAGACCCUCUUAAGAGUGGGCUGAAUUAUAUUUGUCCCAAGGCCUGGAACAUUUAAGUCCUCAUGAAUGUUUCAUUAGUGGGUGAGUCCCUCACGUGCUAUCUACUGAGUACAAUAGUUGUGACUUCAGACUCCAGGAGAUUAAGGAGAAGUUCUAAAACAGCUAAGUUCCCCUUGGUAGCAGACCAGAGGCAAAAGGCAAAACCACAGUUUAGGGUGAGAAGCACAUCUAGAUGGGGAAGAUGAGGAUUCCAGGCACCCAGGCCAGAAAGAAGGGAGUAGAAGCAUUUCAGUUUCCUUACUUGUAGAUGCAUUCAAUUCAUUCAUUCAUUCAUUCAUUCAUUCAUUCAAUAAUUUUAUACUACUAGGGGCCAGAAGGUUCUUUAGGCACUGGGAACACA
Long non-coding RNA from Mustela erminea (ermine), 1252 nucleotides. RefSeq lists it as uncharacterized. The transcript has 4 exons. Lineage: Eukaryota; Metazoa; Chordata; Mammalia; Carnivora; Mustelidae. The record is from RefSeq and is a predicted model, not a curated record.